This 458-nucleotide long non-coding RNA is filed under the name Nicotiana benthamiana. Its description in RNAcentral is "long non-coding RNA (NBEN_LNC029616)". Lineage: Eukaryota; Viridiplantae; Streptophyta; Magnoliopsida; Solanales; Solanaceae. The record is from RNAcentral.
UUCGAAUAUGCACCAGUGAUCCUCGUUAAUGCGGAACAUUUUCUGGAGAAAAAUGACGUAUGCACCAUCUUGCAUGCCUGUGAGCCUGCUGUUGGUAAAGAGGAAGUGUUACCAAAGAUGCAAACUUCAAUGCAUUCUGCCUCUUAAGGAACACAGGUUAUUGAGACUAGCUUGGGAUGUGUUGUAUUUACAAUGCAUUCUGCCUCGUAAGGAAGACAGGUUAUUGAGACUAGCUUGGGAUGUGUUGUAUUUAAACAAUUGAAUACCAUCUUUCAGUUUGUCUUAUUGUGUAUAGCGUGUGAAAUUGAAGGGCAAACUUCAUCUCUUGUUUAUAUGCAUUGAUGUUUAUCUAAGCAGCUUAAUUUAAUAAACGGAAAGGGCCUAAAUUGCCCCUAAACUCUUUGAUUUGGUACAAAAAUGUCCUCCGUUCACCCAUUGAGCCAAAAAUGUCCCUACCG